This 468-nucleotide ribosomal RNA is filed under the name uncultured bacterium. RNAcentral describes it as "partial 16S ribosomal RNA". It matches the Rfam family "Bacterial small subunit ribosomal RNA", at positions 28 to 507 of the family's 1533-position model. The record is from RNAcentral.
GACGAACGCUGGCGGCGUGCUUAACACAUGCAAGUCGAACGGGAAGGCCCUGCUUUUGUGGGGUGCUCGAGUGGCGAACGGGUGAGUAACACGUGAGUAACCUGCCCUUGACUUUGGGAUAACUUCAGGAAACUGGGGCUAAUACCGGAUAGGAGCUCCUGCUGCAUGGUGGGGGUUGGAAAGUUUCGGCGGUUGGGGAUUGACUCGCGGCUUAUCAGCUUGUUGGUGGGGUAGUGGCUUACCAAGGCUUUGACGGGUAGCCGGCCUGAGAGGGUGACAGGCCAAAUUGGGACUGAGAUACGGCCCAGACUCCUACGGGAGGCAGCAGUGGGGAAGAUUGUACAAUGGGCGGAAGCCUGAUGCAGCAACGCCGCGUGCGGGAUGACGGCCUUCGGGUUGUAAACCGCUUUCGCCUGUGACGAAGCGUGAGUGACGGUAAUGGGUAAAGAAGCACCGGCUAACUACGUG